AUGGAGCUGCCCUGGAAAAGCCAGGCAGAGAUUUGGGCCAGAACAAAAAAAGGGCUCGAAAGAGAGAGAGAGAGAGAGAAAAAAAAAAAAAAAAAAAGGGGGGGAAACAAAGAGGAUCUGUCUGCAUUACACAACGGGACCAGGGACUCUGAAUGGGGGUUUGUUGUGGUGUCCCCCCCCCUCAACCCCCCGGCACGUCCUCCUGCCCGUGCCCUGGCUUUUACACCAAACCCCAGGCACGGGGAGGAGGAGGUUUCGGGGCUGUUUUGCAACAGGUUACUCCCCUUCUGCCCCUUCAGCUUUUUUAACCCGUUCUACAAAUGCCUUUUUAUGCCCAUACCCAACGCUGGUGGGGCUGGUGCCUGCCCUGUGCCCCACGGAUGCUGCCCCACGACUGUGUCUGGCCACGGGUGGCGGGUUUCCCCCCUCUCUCACCGAGUCCUGUCCCAUCCCCCCCACCCAGGCAAAAUCUUUUUCCGAGACGCCGUGGGAUUUAGAAGCCGGGGCGUGGGAGGGCGGCUGUUUUCUCAGCCCGACGAGUUUGCUCAAGGUCCCGGCUGCGCCGUGGUGCCUUCAAGGUCCCACGGGACCAGCCAGGUUUGGCUGGCAACCCCCCCCCUUUCCACCGUCAAGCCGGCCUGGCCACCUGUGGGGGGAGAGGGAUGGUUAACGGGGUGUCUGAGGCCAGGGACCCGGGGACCAGUAGAACCCGCCCGCCCGGUUGAGGCGUCGUGGGCCACAUGGGCGUCGAGCGGGGUUGCCCACGCCGUGGGGAUGGGUUUGGCUGCACCGGGCUGGUGUGGGGAGGAGGGGGGGGUGGUGGUAUUUCCCACCCCACCGGGGCUGGCAAACCCACCAAAAACCCAAAGGGGGCUGUGGGCUUUGUUUCCCUGGGUGCCCCCAUCUUGGGCCACCAUCAUCACCCAUGGGACCUGGCUGGGGCUGGGGGGGCGGGGGGGUGCCCUUGCCUGGGUGGGCACUUGGGGAGUGGGGGGCAAGACCCCCAGGGCUCAGGGUGGG
Molecule: long non-coding RNA, 1020 nt
Filed under: Calidris pugnax (ruff)
Lineage: Eukaryota; Metazoa; Chordata; Aves; Charadriiformes; Scolopacidae
Description: lncRNA (ENSCPUG00000015494.1)
Source: RNAcentral